AGGGCCGGUGUCGUUUGUGUUGCGUUGGGUCAAAAAUGGUUAACUUAUUUUCGACCGACCGCGUAGAAAAAAAGGGGCUCUCGAGAGAAAGGCGACAGGAAGGGCGAUUCCUCUCCGUGUGCUUUACGAAGGUAGAUCGUUGCGUAAUUUUUUUGAUUCCUUUGAUUUUUCGAUUCAGGCCACGUUAUCUUCUUGCUUCCUCUCAAUCUGGUUGGGUUAUGGGGUUU
This 227-nucleotide long non-coding RNA is filed under the name Brassica napus (rape). RNAcentral describes it as "long non-coding RNA (BNAP_LNC020594)". The record is from RNAcentral. Lineage: Eukaryota; Viridiplantae; Streptophyta; Magnoliopsida; Brassicales; Brassicaceae.